UUUUGGGAAAGUAUGUGAGUUUCUCCAGGAAGGGUUUACACGCUGUUCAUCUGUGCAAAUUUCAGACUGUGUGCAGAGCCAAGAACUUCAGCAGCCCUGAGGUGCUAUUUAGGUAGAGGAAACCGUAGCAGGCAGACAACACACACCUGAACAGGAGGGCUGUCCCUCCGCAGAGGAAACUGAGACGGUAUGGACAGAAGUGUUUGCAGGAGCUUUGCUGGGCAUGGUGGCUCAUGUCUGCAAUCCCAGCACUCAAGAGGCUGAGAGAAAACUCAGCUCAGUACCGUGCUGUUGCCCUCAGCAAACACAGGAUGUCAUAAGGAGAGAGAAGGUAGAACAUGGAAUCUUCCCAGCCCCAGGACAUCUGAGAACAUCCAUACGUCCACACUGGAUGCUUUGAGGACUUUGAACACUGAGGCACUGGAUAUUUGGAGGUCUUUGCCCACUGAUGUUUGCUCAGGUCUCAUCUAAUGUCCCUUGCCUUCCUUCAAGCCUUAUAAUGAUGCCUGACUCUCUUCAUUCCCCAUGGAUGGCCUUUUCGCCCUCCAUCUGCCUGCACCAGGUACGAUGCCAGAUUCUGCACAACAGACUGAUACAACAGUUGAGAUGCUAUCAGCACUCUGGAGGCUCCUGUGGGUUAAAUGGGUGAGAUCAGCAAGUGUCGUAGUUGUUGAAGACGUGAGUACCAAACGGAAUGUUUUUCUUAAUUUAAUCAUCAAGAAAGAGACAGCUCCUUCCUCCAUGACUCAACUCGUUCUCCAUGGGCCCACUUCCGGCUCCGCAGAAAGCAGGUGUACCUCCAGGGUGAGUGGAACAAAUGGAACACACAGAACACGCGUCAUGGUUCUCCAUUCUGAUGGGCCCCAGAGCAGAUGGAAGACUUCAAUGGGAAUAUUGAAGUUACCAUUUUAA
Molecule: long non-coding RNA, 912 nt
Filed under: Chinchilla lanigera (long-tailed chinchilla)
Lineage: Eukaryota; Metazoa; Chordata; Mammalia; Rodentia; Chinchillidae
Description: lncRNA (ENSCLAG00000027108.1)
Source: RNAcentral